UCUAGGAAAGGUAUAUAAUGAACUAUUCUUUUCUACGGGUCUUGACCAACACACGUGCCAGCAGUCGCGGUAAGACGUGGAAGACUUGCGUUAAUCAUCUUUAUUAGGUAUAAAGGUACCUAGACGGUUAAUUUAGCCUUCUCAAAUUGAGAGGGAACAGAUUAUACUAGAGUUUUAUGGGUAAGGAUAUAUCGUAUUGAUAGAGUAACGAUAAAAUGUUUUGAUACUAUUGAGAACGGAUAACGGCGAAGGCAAUCCUUUAUGUAAAAACUGACGUUGAGGGACGAAGGCAUGGGUAGCGAUCAGGAUUAGAUACCCUGGUAGUCCUUGCAGACAAUUAUGAGUGCCAUAGGUUUGGUAUAUUCACAAUCUAUAAAUGAAAGUGUAUGCACUCCACCUCAAGAGUAAUGUGGCAACACAGGAACUGAAAUCAUUAGACCGUCUCUGAAAUCAGUAGUGAAGCAUGUUGUUUAAUUUGAUAAUCCGCAAAAAACCUUACCAAUAGCUUGAAUAACAUAGUGGUAAUAUAUAGCAAAACUAUGUAUUAAUCACUAUAUACAGGUGCUGCAUGGCUGUCUUCAGUUGAUGUUGUGAAACAUAGGUUAGUUCCGUCAAAUUA
RNAcentral lists this ribosomal RNA (619 nucleotides) under Chrysothrix xanthina. RNAcentral describes it as "SSU rRNA". It matches the Rfam family "Bacterial small subunit ribosomal RNA", at positions 452 to 1095 of the family's 1533-position model. Lineage: Eukaryota; Fungi; Ascomycota; Arthoniomycetes; Arthoniales; Chrysotrichaceae. The record is from RNAcentral.